This 780-nucleotide ribosomal RNA is filed under the name uncultured bacterium. RNAcentral's name for it is "bacterial SSU rRNA". It matches the Rfam family "Bacterial small subunit ribosomal RNA", at positions 8 to 796 of the family's 1533-position model. The record is from RNAcentral.
AGAGUUUGAUCCUGGCUCAGAUUGAACGCUGGCGGAAUGCCUAACACAUGCAAGUCGAGCGGGGUAGCAAUACCCAGCGGCGGACGGGUGAGGAAUACAUAGGAAUCUGCCUUUAGGUGGGGGAUAGCUUGGGGAAACUCARGGUAAUACCGCAUGAUCUCGCAAGAGCAAAGUGGGGGACCGCAAGGCCUCACGCCUUUAGAGGAGCCUAUGUCUGRUUAGCUAGUUGGUGAGGUAACGGCUCACCAAGGCGACGAUCAGUAACUGGUCUGAGAGGACGAUCAGUCACACCGGAACUGAGACACGGUCCGGACUCCUACGGGAGGCAGCAGUGGGGAAUAUUGGACAAUGGGCRCAAGCCUGAUCCAGCAAUUCCGCGUGUGUGAAGAAGGCCUUCGGGUUGUAAAGCACUUUAGGUUGGGAAGAAAAAACUUCUMCUAAUACGAGAAGCGUUGACGGUACCAACAGAAUAAGCACCGGCUAACUCUGUGCCAGCAGCCGCGGUAAUACAGAGGGUGCAAGCGUUAAUCGGAUUUACUGGGCGYAAAGCGUGCGUAGGUGGUUUCGUAAGUCGGAUGUGAAAGCCCCGGGCUCAACCUGGGAACUGCAUUCGAUACUGCGAGACUCGAGUUUGGUAGAGGGUGGCGGAAUUCCCGGUGUAGCGGUGAAAUGCGUAGAUAUCGGGAGGAACAUCAAUGGCGAAGGCAGCCACCUGGGCCUGAACUGACACUGAGGCACGAAAGCGUGGGUAGCAAACAGGAUUAGAUACCCUGGUAGUCC